Molecule: small RNA, 689 nt
Filed under: Pan troglodytes (chimpanzee)
Lineage: Eukaryota; Metazoa; Chordata; Mammalia; Primates; Hominidae
Description: retained intron
Source: RNAcentral
GCCCCAGAGUCCCCGCACCAGGCAGAGCCGUACCUGUCACCCUCCCCAAGCGCCCGCACCGCGGUGCAAGAGCCCAGCCCAGGGGCGCUGGACGUGACCAUCAUGUACAAGGGCCGCACGGUGCUGCAGAAGGUGGUGGGACACCCUAGCUGCACGUUCCUAUACGGGCCCCCAGACCCAGCUGUCCGAGCCACAGACCCCCAGCAGGUAGCAUUCCCCAGCCCUGCCGAGCUCCCGGACCAGAAGCAGCUGCGCUACACGGAGGAACUGCUGCGGCAUGUGGCCCCUGGGUUGCACCUGGAGCUUCGGGGGCCACAGCUGUGGGCCCGGCGCAUGGAGUCCCCUUCUUCAGAGCUGGUGGAAUUCCGGGCACGGCAGCGCCGUGGCUCCCCACGCUAUACCAUCUACCUGGGCUUCGGGCAGGACCUGUCAGCUGGGAGGCCCAAGGAGAAGAGCCUGGUCCUGGUGAAGCUGGAACCCUGGCUGUGCCGAGUGCACCUAGAGGGCACGCAGCGUGAGGGUGUGUCUUCCCUGGAUAGCAGCAGCCUCAGCCUCUGCCUGUCCAGCACCAACAGCCUCUAUGACGACAUCGAGUGCUUCCUUAUGGAGCUGGAGCAGCCCGCCUAGAACCCAGUCUAAUGAGAACUCCAGAAAGCUGGAGCAGCCCACCUAGAGCUGGCCGCGGCCGC